This is a non-coding RNA of Podarcis lilfordi (Lilford's wall lizard), 74 nucleotides long. Lineage: Eukaryota; Metazoa; Chordata; Lepidosauria; Squamata; Lacertidae. The record is from the annotation of a GenBank genome assembly.
ACUUCUUCAGCUCAGUUGGUUAGAGCGUGGUGCUGACAACGCCAAGGUUGCAGGUUCAAUCCCCGUAAGGGACA